AUUUACCUUUUUGGUUUUAUAUAUAUAUAUAUAUAUAUAUAAUUUUUUUUAGUUGUAGGUGGACACAAUACCUUUUUUAUUUAUAUGUGGUGCUGAGGAUCAAACCCAGGACCUCACACAUGCUAGGGAAGUCCUCUGCUGCUGAGCCACAACCCAAGCCCCAUUAUUUACCAUUUUAAUCUAUUAAUUUGACUUAUAUAUAGGCCCACUUGAUUAAGUCCAAGAAAUGGACCUUAUCCUUACCAUCUCUAUAUUUACUUAAAAGCACAGAUUUUAAAUAGUAUAACCAUUGGUAAAAUUAGAAAAAUCACUUCCAAAGGAGACAAGUCUGAUUUGAAAGUUUUAAUUAUGUGGAUUAUUGUUGGAAGAGACAGAACAACAGAUACUUUCAUAAUAAAUUUAUGGAAAUGUUAGGGAAAAAAUACCCUGACGCUAUUGCUUUUUUGAGAGCACUGUUUAGGAUGAAUCCACUAAAAGCCUUGUUGAACAAAUUUUUUAACUCCUAUGCCAUAUGCCAAAUCAGUUUUAAUAACUGCCUCAAAGAAUGUUCUCAGCAUUAAAUGAGCUAGCUUUGUUAAGGGCUUAUAUGACUGAUAUUUUAGUAAAAAAUAAAUGGUGCAUUUUUAAAAUUAUUGCAUCAAAAAGUCCACCUUUAUUUGCCCAUUUGGUAGUUUGAGGGUUUUUUUGGGGAGUGGGGAGUAGUUGAUAGAUUUUCUUACUUGAGAAACAGUCCAUACUAUUGGGCAUAUGUAUGUAUGUAUGUUUGUUUUACAUUUUUAUUUAUUUUUAUGUGGUGCUGAGGAUCGAACCUAGUGCCUCACACGUGCUAGCAAAUGCUCUACUGUUAAGCCCUAGCCCCAGCCCCCAUGUGUGUUAAAUCUUUACAGAAAAGAUUUAACAGAAAAAUUACUGACUUGAAUUGAGAAAAAAAAAAAUAGCUUGUUAAGGGAAGAAUGACUUUGUAUAUAAAAACAGCAUGCCUCCCAUUUUUAAAAAGAUGUGGCUAUAAAUAGCAAUUUUGCCAUGGCAAUGGAUAAAAAGAUCAGGCUUCCCAAAUUUGAUGGGUCUCAUACAGAACAUCUGAAUCCCCUUGCUCAUCCCCUAAAUCUUCUUUCUUAGUCUCUGAUUUCAAUAAAUAGCACAACCAUUCGUCAGGUUGUUUGUGCUUAAAAUUAAGAAUUUGUUUGAUUUCUCACAUUCUACAUCCAACUCAUCAACCAGUACCAUAAACUUGCCUUAUAAUUAUAUUCUGAAUUCAGCAGUUUACCACCUUCAGUGCUGCCACUAAGACACCAUCAUUUUUUAUUGGAUCAUAGCCGCAUACUCAUCAUUUACUCCUAUUUUUCCCUGCUUUCUCAUGAAAAUUUCCCCCUUCAAACAUAAUACCAGCCAGAACCAUCAUUUCAAAUUUUUAUGUUAUGUUCCUUCCAUACUUAAAACUUAAAAUAGCUUCUCUAUGCACACAUAAUAAAACCCAAAUCCCUUACCAUGACCUUCAAGAUGGUAUACUCUGGCCACUGCCUAUUCUCCAACUUUAUCUAGUUCUCACCCAUCUAAUUGCUUCUCUAUUUCUGUCAUGUGCCAGGCUUUUUCUAGUCUGUAGCAGAGAUAUGUUAGUUGUCUCUAAACUUUCCUCCAUUUUUUUUGUAGUGAUAAACAUGGAUACAUGACUGCCUAGAAUAAAGACUAUAUUUUCCAGCCUUCCUUGUAGUAAUAGUGAUGGCCAGUGUAAUAUUAGCAGAUAUAUCAUGUGACACCCUUGAAGAAUUAUUCUUAAAUGGCACCUGCUACACCCUUCAAUCCUUUGCUGCUUUUUCUGUAUUUUGUACCCUGGAAUGAGAUGGCCUGAAAUUCUAAUUUGAAUUCAGACCAUUUGCAAGUACUCUUACCCUAGGGAUUGGCAAAUCCUUAAACUGGUGGAAAUCAGGAUCCUUCUGAGUUUAUGGAUAAAAACACUAUUCUAGCCUUAAAUUCCUUACCUUCAAGUUUUGAUAUGGAAAGAAAGUAACCUUUUAUCUCAUUAAAGCCCUUAAUUGGGGCCUCGUACUAAACUGAUAACUCCAUUUUAGAGUCUUUGCGCUUGCUAUUUAUUGUCUUUCUGCCUGAUAUGUAAUUUUUCAGUCUUCUCUGUGGCUGACUCAU
This 2142-nucleotide long non-coding RNA is filed under the name Marmota monax (woodchuck). The record is from RNAcentral. Lineage: Eukaryota; Metazoa; Chordata; Mammalia; Rodentia; Sciuridae.